This is a long non-coding RNA of Pipistrellus kuhlii (Kuhl's pipistrelle), 311 nucleotides long. RefSeq lists it as uncharacterized. The transcript is spliced from 3 exons. The record is from RefSeq and is a predicted model, not a curated record. Lineage: Eukaryota; Metazoa; Chordata; Mammalia; Chiroptera; Vespertilionidae.
UGUUUCUCAGAGAAGAACAUAUAGUGAAAUGGGGCAGAGGCAUCCAUCCGUGGCUGAUGUCUGAAAUUUUCUGGCUCUAAACCGAAUUCCUUCCCAUCCUUUUAUCUUCACCUUUUCCAAAAGGAUUUACAAGUGCAAGAAAAUUACAGCCCCUCAUGAACCUGUCAACCACACCAUUGCACUAUUACAGGAGCUUUAACUGAGGCACCUUAUGGUGUUUGGGGAUCCAGCAUGAUAAAUAGCCCAUAUUCAAGGUUUUGUGAGAAGACCUAGUUCUAACAAUAACAGUCAGCCUCAUGUGGUUUAUUCAU